Molecule: ribosomal RNA, 505 nt
Filed under: uncultured bacterium
Lineage: Bacteria
Description: partial 16S ribosomal RNA
Rfam family: Bacterial small subunit ribosomal RNA
Source: RNAcentral
GACGAACGCUGGCGGCGUGCCUAAUACAUGCAAGUAGAACGCACAGUUUAUACCGUAGCUUGCUACACCAUAGACUGUGAGUUGCGAACGGGUGAGUAACGCGUAGGUAACCUGCCUGGUAACGGGGGAUAACUAUUGGAAACGAUAGCUAAUACCGCAUAAUAUUGAUUAUUGCAUGAUAAUUGAUUGAAAGAUGCUAUUGCAUCACUACCAGAUGGACCUGCGUUGUAUUAGCUAGUAGGUGAGGUAACGGCUCACCUAGGCGAGGAUACAUAGCCGACCGGAGAGGGUGAGCGGCCACACUGGGACUGAGACACGGCCCAGACGCCUACGGGAGGCAGCAGUAGGGAAUCUUCGGCAAUGGACGAAAGUCUGACCGAGCAACGCCGCGUGAGUGAAGAAGGUUUUCGGAUCGUAAAGCUCUGUUGUAAGAGAAGAACGGGUGUGAGAGUGGAAAGUUCACACUGUGACGGUAUCUUACCAGAAAGGGACGGCUAACUACGUG